RNAcentral lists this long non-coding RNA (918 nucleotides) under Homo sapiens (human). RNAcentral describes it as "HSALNT0101443". Lineage: Eukaryota; Metazoa; Chordata; Mammalia; Primates; Hominidae. The record is from RNAcentral.
AUUCAUCUGCAAAAUUUGAUCCCAUGAACAGGCAUCUGGAGAAAGCUUCUUAUGUUGGCAACAUACUUACAGAGUCAGAAGCUGGUCACCUUCAAGUUAUUUCCCUCCUCUAGAAUGCUGUACUUCCACCACUGCCAAAUCGUGAACUUUCUCUCCUUCAAUAUCCCACUGAGAACUCACCCCCAGGAUGGGACUCUGCUCACCCCGUCCUCUACUCAAGCAGAAGCCUCUCAGCGAUCAUGUAUUUUUCCAUGUGUUUAUCCUGUCUCCAUUAAUUUGUAAUCUUCCAGAGGGCAAGGCCUGAACACAAGCUUCUGUUGGUGUAAAGUGGAGGCACAGGCUGCAGGACUGUCUCAGAAGGGAAAUAAUAUUUACCUUCCAAACUGAGAUCUAAAACCCGAACAAAGCCUCAGGAAACAUACUCCACCACCAUCUUACAAGUUUGUGCUACGGGUGGAGGGAAAAUGAAUCUAAUGUAGGAGGCCUCCCGCUGUGCGUCUAGCAGGAAAGACCAUACGGUGCAAGUCUCCAGGAUCACUAGAGGGGUGGAUUGUUCAUUUCAGUCCAGGUAGCAACAGGAAGCCCGUGCAAAUGUUCCUCUCUCACUGCGGGGCUAAGGAGUGUGGGUCCUUUCCCGCGACUACCUGCUUGCCUCUCUCAGAACCUGCAAGUGAAGUGCGGAAGAUCUGUCUAUCUUCUCGGCGGCGCAGAGCCCAAGGUAGAAACCGAUGGAGGCGGUGCACUAGAUAACAUCAAAGCCCCGGGCAGGGGCCAGAAAGGGGGGCACAGGCAGCCCGGGGAAUGAAGCGCCUCCCUCUAGCAUUUCCUCUCACGCCCACUUCCAACCUAGGAGGCUUUUGGUUUCUGCUUUUUUGUUUUUAAAAUUAAAAGUUAAACCCAGGAAGCUUUGGAUCAGAC